CUCUGGGAAAGGCUGCGGGCAGCAGAGCUUUCCGUGAUCAAAGCCCUUCUGCUCCCUAUCGGCAUUCUGAGAGAGGGCAUCCCCUGCCUAGCAACAAAAGCCCCGAACCCAAAGCCACCAUUCCAUUUCGAAACCCGGGUCUGGGCAUACCUUCUAAAAGGAGGACCUCUGAGUUUCAGAAUGGCGAGCAGCUUGCAGAAAACUAUCCUCCGCAGUAUCCUCCAGAGCCGCUGGAUCUCAGCCUGGAGGUCGAGGCCCUCGCAGGUCCCCGGGCCCUGAGUCCCACCCCUUUCAAGCAAGCUGAAUCGUUUGGUGCCUCCAGUCGAAGAGGUGGACGAAAUGCCCAGAUGUCCCCCUUACGGCAAUCAGGAACGCUCAACUCUUCCCAAAGAGGUUCUGGUCUCACCCGUUCCUCUUCUCCCUCCCGUAGUACCUCCCCGUUCAGACGGGCCGAGUCCAGCUCCUCUCUCAACACGGUUGGCUUUCGUUCUAGCGGAGAUUCACACGGACAAGAUCAGGCAUCGGUCAGCCCGGCACGGAACAGUUACUCUGGAAACCUCAGAUCGUUUGCAAGCACUGCGGGCAAUGUCAGUAGCAUCAAUAAGUCUCUGUCGUACAUGGAUCUGAGAGGCACUUUACGGAAACCCGAGACCAACAGCUCCUUCAUUGGGUCUACAGAGAACCGUGGAAGCUCGUCCCCUUCCAGAUGGAGUUAUGACAGUCCUUCUGUUAGGACAAACGAAACGAAAAUCCCUUCUUAUGAGCGUGGUCAUGACAGACAGGGAUUCUCCUCCUCCUCCUUGAAGAGCCGCUAUGAUUCCAGAAGCCAGUCCCCUGUGGGGAAGCUGGAGACGAAUGGCUCAUCAAGUCAGAUUCAAAAGGGUCGACGAAGUGCGUCUCCAGUCAGAAAGGGCUACGGAACACCAAGCCAAUCGGAUAGAAGAUCCAUGUCUAAUGGAUGGAGUUAUGACAGAAAAAGCCCCUCCCCAUCCAGAAAAAGCUAUGAGAUGCAAAGCCAAGCCACAAAGAAGAAACCAGAGGCAAAGAGCUCCCUUCACAGCUACAAUCGAGACAGCCGACACUCUUCCCCAAGUAGAGGUCAUCACCAAAACCCUGGCCCAUUAUUGCUUCGUAAGUCCAAAACAAGCCAGUCCACAUCAAACUGUGGUCCCAAGAGCUGCAGUCCCUCCCCCUUAGCUCAUAGCCAAUCUCCUCCUCGCAAGUCAGAGAGUGGGCGGAGCCCCUCUGUGUCUACAUUGAGGCGUGAGAUUGCAGACUACGUCCCUCUGAGGAACACUAUGAGUGACAGAACUGGCUCCGCCUCUUACGUAAGAAACACCAUGAGUAGCCAAUCACAGCACGAUUCAAACCCUUCAUCAGGUCGUUGGAGAGGCUCCACCCACUCUCUCCACAGCCAGUCAGUCUCACGUAACUCCUCCCCAUCUCGCCACAGCAGCGAGAAGAAACAAAUCGACUCCUUUACCAAAUCUGCCUCUGUUGCCUGGGAACCGCCACAAGACGGAAACAAGAGGAGCAGCAUGAGGCAGAACCCAGAGGUACAAAGCUCCACGCCCAACAGCCGACGAGCACAGAGCCGACACAGAAGCCCCUCCCCUCCGGUCCAAAGACACACGUCUUCUCAGAGCUCCAUGGACUCCAAGUCAAGUCAUCUCUCGGCCGGGUCAUUGGGUCUCAACCGGGAGGAGUACACCAUGAUGGAUGACCUUCCCAAGGCCAAAACGGUCAUCCAGAGGGAGGGUCCGAGCCACCUAAGGAGGAUGGAGAGCAGACAGAAACAAGAACUUUCCCGCUACAAACCGGCCAGUCACUCCCAGAGCAAAGCUCCUCACUCGGAAUAGGAUAGGUACACUAUCAAGGGUUCACUCGUCCAGCUCCCUACACACACAGGUAAAUAAACAUACACGUCCUGUAACAUUCACAUGAAAAUAUUGAAUAUAAUAGGCUAAAGAUAAGAGAUUCUAUAACUAAACUGAAACUGUUUCUAAAGGCCCAUUCACACCAUGACAUGAUAUCCAUUAUGACGAACUAUAAAUACCAUUCAGUGUUUUAAUAAUAGUUCUAAUUCUGUGAAAACAAGAAAGUCUAC
Sinocyclocheilus grahami is the source of this 2107-nucleotide long non-coding RNA. NCBI's taxonomy places the organism in Eukaryota, Metazoa, Chordata, Actinopteri, Cypriniformes, Cyprinidae. The record is from Ensembl.